AUGGACACCCGGGUGCCGCCCGUUCCCAUGGAUCCGGCGACGGCGGUGAUGUUCCGGCUCGACGGCCAGGACCCGGACGAGAUGGAAGCCCUCUUCGCCCGCGUGCUCUCCUACACCCACUACGCCCUCCCGGACCCGCCCGUCUCCGUCGACGCUCGCCUCUUCGGUCUCCUCCCCCACCACUCCGUCGACGGCUUCAGCCGCCUUCCCGACGUGCUCCUCCGCAACAUCGUCUCUCGCCUCCCAGUCAAGGAAGGCGCGCGCACCGCGGUGCUCUCCCGGCGCUGGCGCGGGGUCUGGCGCUCUGCCCCGCUCGUCCUCGUCGAUUCUCACAUCCUCCCCGCAGCCGCAGCCACCGCGGCCGCGCGUGGCGACGCGCGGCGCAUCACCUCUGCUGUGUCCCGCAUCCUCGCCGCGCACCCGGGACCCUUCCGCUGCGUCCACCUCACCAGCAGCCACAUGGAAGAGUUCCAUGGCCUGCUCACGCGCUGGCUCCGCAUCCUCGCCAACAAGGGGAUCCAGGAACUCGUCCUCGUCAAUCGCCCUUGGCCGCUCGACCUCGUUCUCCCCUCCACCUUCUUAGGCAUGACCACCCUCACCCGCCUCUACCCCGGCCUCUGGAAGUUCCCCGACACGGCCGGCAUCCCGAGCGCCACCUGUCUCCCUAACCUCCUUGAGCUCGGGCUCUGCAGCCUCAUCAUGGAGAGCAAGGAUCUGGACUUCAUCCUCGACAGGAGCCCCGUGCUGGAGACGCUUUAUAUCCAUGGUAAUCUUUUCAAGCUUAGUCUUCGCCUUGUCAGCCAAAGCCUCCGGUGCGUGAAGAUCCUCAUGUCCUCCUUUGAAGAAAUCGCUGUGGUGGACGCCCCGCGCCUUGAGAGACUCAUCCUAACAGGAUGUUGGAGCCGCGGCGGGGUUUGCACCAAGGUGAAGAUCGGUUAUGCCCCCAAGUUGCACUCGUUGGGAUACUUGGAUUCAGGAAGUCAUGACCUAGAGUUCGGCAACACCGUCAUCAAGGCUGGGACAAAGGUGAGCCCAAGCACCAUGGUACCAAGUGUGAGGGUCCUGGCUUUGGAGGUGCGUUGUGGAGUCCGCAAUGAUGUCAAGAUGAUCCCGACUGUCCUCAGAUGCUUUCCCAAUGUUGAGACGCUCCACAUCAUGUCUGGAAAAACUGGUCAACCCUCUGGCAAGCACAACCUCAAGUUCUGGAAUGAGUCUGGUACCAUAGAAUGCAUCAGCUCGCGCAUCAACCUGCUGGUUUUCCAUGAUUUCCGAGGGGAUCGGAGUGAGCUUGCUUUUCUCAAGUUUUUCUUUGAGAGUGCGCUGGUGCUGAAGCAUGUGGUGAUAGUGUUGGCCAAUGCAUGGUUCACUUCGAUGGAGGAUAUGCAUUCCAAAGUGAAUCCUCUGCGGUCCAUGAAACGGGCCAGUGCAGGCUCCAAAAUCAUGGUCACUGGGUGUUCUGAUGCUGAAGAUGGUGGCAUGGGGAACUUCAAGAGAGCACCGGGUAGUUCUAUUGGCGACCCUUUCGUGAACUUCUGA
This 1536-nucleotide ribosomal RNA is filed under the name Triticum aestivum (bread wheat). Its description in RNAcentral is "partial small subunit ribosomal RNA". Lineage: Eukaryota; Viridiplantae; Streptophyta; Magnoliopsida; Poales; Poaceae. The record is from RNAcentral.